RNAcentral lists this ribosomal RNA (726 nucleotides) under Aeneolamia albofasciata. RNAcentral describes it as "SSU rRNA". It matches the Rfam family "Eukaryotic small subunit ribosomal RNA", at positions 721 to 1290 of the family's 1831-position model. The record is from RNAcentral. Lineage: Eukaryota; Metazoa; Arthropoda; Insecta; Hemiptera; Cercopidae.
UUCCACGCUGUCGGUUCGCCGCCCGUCGGUGUCAACUGGCAUGUCCUGUGGAACGUCCUGCCGGUGGCGGACCGGGCUUUCGGCUUGCGUAAGGGCUUACGCCCGAAGCAGGCCGAACAGUACCGGCCGCCGGUCCAAUCCCGCCACGGUGCUCUUCACCGAGUGUCGAGGUGGGCCGGCACGUUUACUUUGAACAAAUUAGAGUGCUUAAAGCAGGCUGGUGUCCGCCUGAAUACUGUGUGCAUGGAAUAAUAGAAUAGGACCUCGGUUCUAUUUUGUUGGUUUUCGGAACCCGAGGUAAUGAUUAAUAGGGACAGGCGGGGGCAUUCGUAUUGCGACGUUAGAGGUGAAAUUCUUGGAUCGUCGCAAGACGAACCUAAGCGAAAGCAUUUGCCAAGUAUGUUCUCGUUAAUCAAGAACGAAAGUUAGAGGUUCGAAGGCGAUCAGAUACCGCCCUAGUUCUAACCAUAAACGAUGCCAGCCAGCGAUCCGCCGAAGUUCCUCCGAUGACUCGGCGGGCAGCUUCCGGGAAACCAAAGCUUUUGGGUUCCGGGGGAAGUAUGGUUGCAAAGCUGAAACUUAAAGGAAUUGACGGAAGGGCACCACCAGGAGUGGAGCCUGCGGCUUAAUUUGACUCAACACGGGAAACCUCACCAGGCCCGGACACCGGAAGGAUUGACAGAUUGAGAGCUCUUUCUUGAUUCGGUGGGUGGUGGUGCAUGGCCG